GCGCCCAUAGCUCAGCUGGACAGAGCAACGGCCUUCUAAGCCGUGGGUCGGAGGUUCGAGUCCUCCUGGGCGCGCCA
RNAcentral lists this transfer RNA (77 nucleotides) under Myxococcales bacterium. Its description in RNAcentral is "tRNA-Arg". It matches the Rfam family "tRNA". From Rfam's summary of the family: Transfer RNA (tRNA) molecules are approximately 80 nucleotides in length. Their secondary structure includes four short double-helical elements and three loops (D, anti-codon, and T loops). The record is from RNAcentral. RNAcentral also lists the same sequence under 1 other name. Lineage: Bacteria; Pseudomonadati; Myxococcota; Myxococcia; Myxococcales.